RNAcentral lists this long non-coding RNA (861 nucleotides) under Equus caballus (horse). Its description in RNAcentral is "lncRNA (ENSECAG00000044172.1)". The record is from RNAcentral. Lineage: Eukaryota; Metazoa; Chordata; Mammalia; Perissodactyla; Equidae.
CACACCAAGCCUGCUGCCUCGCACGCUCUGCUGCUGGUGCCCAGUGGGAGACAGAGCAAGGCCAGGGCACCGAGCCCUGCACCGGGGUCACCGUGAAGCUCAAGGAAGCCGCACGCGGUGCCUGGCGGAGAAGCAGGCUGCUGCCAGGCAGCUUUGUGCAUUUGGUGGCUUCAUUGGGUACUCAUCAAACAGUUGGCACAAACACCUCCCUCCUCCCGCGACAGGAGCUCGCGCUUCAAAAAGCCUCAAACUGCUCUGAAAUGUGAUAACAGCGUCUGUCAAUUUCUGCACAUAGAACGCUGUUUGCUACGGCAAGACUAUUUGUCUUGGCCUUCUGGAACUGUGUGGACUUCCAGACCAAUGAUUCCCCGCACCCUGGAGCAAGAGCCUACAGUGCUGGGAGUCCCCAGUGACAAGUGGAUCUUCCUUCCUGUGGAAGAGGGCGACCUCUCCUGUGACAUUGACUCGCCGAGGCUGUCACACCAGGCCAUUGGCUGCAGGGUGAGCACACGGCUGACUGUUCUCCGCCAGCUCCUCGACGACACCCCACUCUGGUGCGUCCUACUCCCCUGUUCCUGCCCUCACAGUGACAGAGGGCCACUCUGGGUGCCUCACGUGGAGCCUGGUCUGUUAGGCCCUGUCCCCUUCCUCAGCAGGCUCCGGCCGAACCCGAGCCCCAAGCCUGUGGCCGCUCCAGGUCGGGAGCGGGAUGGCAGGAGAUGGGCUCACUCUGGCAGGGGAAUUGCUCGCUGGCGAUCCCACCUCCUGCCAUCAACCCAACACCAGUGGCUGAAACACGCAGUGCCAGGGGAGAGACGGGCACUGAGAUCCAGCCUGGCCUUGGGGGAGGCACGUCUGAGG